GUGUGUGGGCGGGGAGCGCUGGGGCGCCACGCGCGGGGGGCGGGAGCUCCCGGGCGCGUCCGUCCUUGGGCAGCGACCGCCAUGUCCGCGCCCCCGCAGGGGCGGCCGAGGCCGGCGUGCGCCCCCCGCCGCGAGCACCGCCCGGCCGCAGCUGCGUGAGGCGGGGAGCGCGGAAGCAAGCGCCAGGGUCUUGGAUCCCGGAGACGUUGCGGAGUUCCUCUGAGGAUGUGCGGCACUGUCAUGGAUUACACUUGUUCCCUGUGUAGGCCAUGAUGCUCUGCGCUGUAUUUUCAGUCACAAUCCCGAACCUUCCCACUGUUUCAGGAGUUAAUACAAAAGAUAUUUGAGCAAGCAGAAAAAUGCCGAAGUUUCACAUUUGGUGCCGCAGCCUUACCCUUUGCACUGUCCUCUCGGUUUUUUGGGGUUUUUUUAAUACUUUGGCAUACAGAAUAAUCUGUCAGCACUGACGGCAUUAAAUCUCUUGAAACGCACCUUUCCAAAGGCAUUGUGUCUGACACCAGUUGAAUGUAAGUAACUUGUAUUGCAAUAAAAUGUAUUCACAUAUUAAA
Long non-coding RNA from Strigops habroptila (Kakapo), 569 nucleotides. RefSeq lists it as uncharacterized. The transcript is spliced from 2 exons. NCBI's taxonomy places the organism in Eukaryota, Metazoa, Chordata, Aves, Psittaciformes, Psittacidae. The record is from RefSeq and is a predicted model, not a curated record.